RNAcentral lists this ribosomal RNA (572 nucleotides) under Salmonella enterica. RNAcentral's name for it is "partial 23S ribosomal RNA". It matches the Rfam family "Bacterial large subunit ribosomal RNA", at positions 1 to 586 of the family's 2925-position model. Lineage: Bacteria; Pseudomonadati; Pseudomonadota; Gammaproteobacteria; Enterobacterales; Enterobacteriaceae. The record is from RNAcentral.
GGUUAAGCGACUAAGCGUACACGGUGGAUGCCCUGGCAGUCAGAGGCGAUGAAGGACGUGCUAAUCUGCGAUAAGCGCCGGUAAGGUGAUAUGAACCGUUAUAACCGGCGAUUUCCGAAUGGGGAAACCCAGUGUGACUCGUCACACUAUCAUUAACUGAAUCCAUAGGUUAAUGAGGCGAACCGGGGGAACUGAAACAUCUAAGUACCCCGAGGAAAAGAAAUCAACCGAGAUUCCCCCAGUAGCGGCGAGCGAACGGGGAGGAGCCCAGAGCCUGAAUCAGCAUGUGUGUUAGUGGAAGCGUCUGGAAAGGCGCGCGAUACAGGGUGACAGCCCCGUACACAAAAGCGCAUGUGCUGUGAGCUCGAUGAGUAGGGCGGGACACGUGGUAUCCUGUCUGAAUAUGGGGGGACCAUCCUCCAAGGCUAAAUACUCCUGACUGACCGAUAGUGAACCAGUACCGUGAGGGAAAGGCGAAAAGAACCCCGGCGAGGGGAGUGAAAAAGAACCUGAAACCGUGUACGUACAAGCAGUGGGAGCCCCACCACUAAGCCAGUGGUGAACUCCACAUA